UAUAAAAAAAAAUAAAACCGUCGAAGGGCGGUGACGCAAAGCUACGAGUUUACGCCGAAGGAUAGGAUGGUCGGGUUGCCGGA
RNAcentral lists this non-coding RNA (83 nucleotides) under Alkalibacter saccharofermentans. RNAcentral describes it as "c-di-GMP sequence". It matches the Rfam family "c-di-GMP-I riboswitch aptamer". From Rfam's summary of the family: GEMM was predicted in a large-scale screen for bacterial structured RNA regulatory elements. Genes associated with GEMM are involved in a diverse array of functions, including chemotaxis regulation, signal transduction, secretion and chitin. The record is from RNAcentral. Lineage: Bacteria; Bacillati; Bacillota; Clostridia; Eubacteriales; Eubacteriaceae. RNAcentral also lists the same sequence under 1 other name.